Molecule: RNA transcript, 2967 nt
Organism: Eurytemora carolleeae
Lineage: Eukaryota; Metazoa; Arthropoda; Copepoda; Calanoida; Temoridae
Gene name: transforming growth factor beta receptor type 3
Exons: 9
Source: RefSeq, a predicted model, not a curated record
CCUGAAAGCAUUGUGAACCUUGUAAAGAACACAAUGUCUAAGACCUGUUCUAUCUCUAAGAUCUCCCUGACUAUCCCCUCCUCUGUGGUCCAGGAGAUGGGUAUUGUAAAAAUAAACCUGAAUGACCCCAGCUGCACGGCCCGUGAUAACGGGACGCACUUCGUAGUGUCCUCCCACAGCACAGCGUGUGGGUCAACGGCAAUGACCUACGGUGAAGCACCGCUUUACAAGAACAAUCUUUUCCUUCAUGUUCAGGGAUUAGAAGACGAGAUCAGGAUUCCGUAUUUGUGUAAGUUCCGACCUGGUAUACCUGGUAUAUCCCGGGUAGUUGAGGAGGAGAAGGAGAAGGUAGAGGUUGAGGAGGAAGAGGAGGAGGAGAGGGAACCUGACCUGGACAACAUAGAGUCCGGAGAUGAGAUGUAUGGGAUCGAGGUUGAGCUAAUCCAGGCUGGAACUCCGACUCAGCUGAUCAAAUCUAAACUGGACUCGGCUCCGGUUGCCCUUCAUGACCAGCUUUACGUUCAAAGUCAUAUAAACGCUGUACGUUAUCUUGCCCUGGCUAUAGAGCAGUGCUGGCUCUCCAGUAGUCCAAGGGUAUCCUCACACGCCGGACAAUCUGACCUCAAGCUAGUAAUGGCAGGCUGCCCGGCCCACCCAGAGGUCACUAUGCAUUGGGACAAAUCGUCGGCCAAUGCCGCCUUUUCUUUUAAGAUCAGCGAGGAUAUGUCAGCACUAGGAAAGGUUUGGUUACAGUGUAGAAUGGGAUUAUGCUCUGCUACUAGUGCUGGAGCACAGGGGAAUAUAUUCAGGUGCGAGGAUCCCGCAGUAUCCUGCAGUGCUAGUAGGACUCACAGAGAGUCAAGUAUCCAGCAGGUUACUGUCCGCGGUCCUCUACAGAUACUCCCGGUCACCAGAGAUGUUAUCGGUCAGAUCAAACCUGCCGCAGAUCCCAUCCUUCAUGAGCCUACCCUAGAUCAGGUUGAGGAGGAGCAGGAUGGGGCUCACGCACCACAGUCAACCCUAGUUGGGGUGACAGUAGAGGUGGCUGUAGCAAUAUCUUUAGCUUCCUUCCUGGUGGGAGCAAGCUCGACCGGGGUUCUCUGGUUUAUUCAUAGUAAAGCAGAGAAAGUGAAAACGAUUCAGUUGAGACGGAUCGAGGGCACGGAGCUGAAACGUGUAGAUGGAUCCCAGCAGAGACGAGACGAAGAAUCUGAUCCAGUCCGAGCUAAUUUUAUCCACCUUGAUUUACAGAACCAACCUAGAGUGCUAAGUACACACUGCCAAUCUGUUCCAAGCUCCUCCGAUGCAAACGGAAACUGCUCAGGAUGUCCUUUGUUGAGCUAAGAAGAUAGAACUCAUUUUCCGGAGCUGAAAUCUUCUCAGCCGAAGAUUCUUUUCAGAGAAUCUUUAUCAGAAUUCCCUUUGUUUAGGGAUCUCUUCCAGGGUUUCGUUGACAUGAGGGGGUCGCUUAGCUAGCCCCCUCUAAUCUUGCAGGGUUUCAUCUCACCAUUCACCGACAGGGUGUCCACUCAAUUGUUUUAUAUUCUAGAGAUAGAUCAAGGUUCCAGUAGAGAUCCACUUUAAAGACUAAUAUAUUCUAGUUCCUUGAACCCUGAUUUAUCAAUCGAAUAUUUAUAAUUUUUUUUGUCUUAUGGAGCUAGGGGAGUUGAAUCUCUACAAAAUUAACCGGACCAAAAAGUAUGAAUCAAGUCGGAGAAAAUUUAUAUACACAGUUUAAUGUUUGGGAAUAGAUAUAUAGUCGGAGAGUGGACGCUCUGAAGGUUUAAGAUAAGAAGAAAACUGUAACAACAACAACACGGGUCAAAGCAGCCAAGCUGCAUUAUAUAUAUAUAUAUAAAUAUACUUCGUAUACAUGUAGGCUCAAUUAUGUAACCUAUUUCUACUACUUCAUCACUAAACGCUUUUCUACCAAUAGUUGGACACUUGUCCUUUUACCUCGAACCUGGUGAAACCUCGAGUCUUUUCCCGUAGAAUACACCAGGAAUAGAAGAAAACACAACACUGGGCAUUGGAGGGAGAACUCACACAAAUAAUAUAAAAAUUCCAUAUUUAAAUACUUUACACAGAGUUACUCAUAAAGGAUAUAUUGAUAUCCUGAAACUUGAAUUUAGUAUCCUGCCUGAAAUAUUUUAUUUUUAGUGGUAUAUUAAAUAAUUAGGCAUUGUAAGUAAAUAGUUUACAUCUGAAAACCGUAAAUGUAAGGGGGGAAAAUAUCUACAGUCGGUUCUGAUGUCAUACAAUAUAGACAAAAAAAAACUUUAAGCAAGUUUAUUAUUAAGCAAUUCUUUUUAACCGCAUGGGGGAGGGGUUGUGAAUAUAGACAAAAAAUAUAGCGUUUAAAAUUUUCUAAGGAGCUUUAGGGUUUAAAUAAGGAUCAAGAAAUGAGAUUGGGUACCGUACCGAGAACAUAUAAGAAAUUGAAAUAGGUAUUAACAAAAUUUAAAAAUAGAAGAUGUUGAUCGUUGGUAAAGGGGCUUUUGGGUCAUUAUAAGUAGACCAGUUUUACGGUUCAAGCAAUUUUAUAAAAUACAAUUCCAGUAUUUUUAUUUUUCUAUUCCUGCUGUGUUCGGCGCCAUUUGCUUAACCAUCACUAGAGAAAUUAAAGAUUAUCCAUGUAAAACUUAUGUAUUGUUAUGAGUCUAGUUAUUUUUUCUGGUUUUUCUUCUUUAGAAGAUAUAAAGAUAUCCAUCAUUUUAUUUAAAAGAGAAAAAUAUGUUCUCAGACAACAAAUAAAUUAUGCUCGGAAGCGGACUUUUGUGGUUCCAUAUCCGGUUGGUUUCCGGUGUAUACUGGUGAGCUCCCGACUAGUAUCGAGGAGUUAUUAAACAAUAACAUUUAUUUAAUUGUUUGCCUGGCCUAAGACUGAAUUAUUCUAUAAAUAAGUUGUAAAGAUAUAUUUAUCCUGCAUCUUUGAUAAGUGGAAAAAUAAAACUAAAUAAAACUUGU